This 218-nucleotide ribosomal RNA is filed under the name uncultured bacterium. RNAcentral describes it as "partial 16S ribosomal RNA". It matches the Rfam family "Bacterial small subunit ribosomal RNA", at positions 1283 to 1500 of the family's 1533-position model. The record is from RNAcentral.
CGUACUCAGUUCGGAUUGUAGUCUGCAACUCGACUACAUGAAGCUGGAAUCGCUAGUAAUCGCGAAUCAGAAUGUCGCGGUGAAUACGUUCCCGGGUCUUGUACACACCGCCCGUCACACCACGAGAGUUUACAACACCCGAAGUCAGUGGCCUAACCGCAAGGAGGGAGCUGCCUAAGGUGGGGUANAUGAUUGGGGUGAAGUCGUAACAAGGUAAC